This 775-nucleotide ribosomal RNA is filed under the name Enterococcus sp. FBPers-10_02-06. RNAcentral's name for it is "bacterial SSU rRNA". It matches the Rfam family "Bacterial small subunit ribosomal RNA", at positions 60 to 804 of the family's 1533-position model. Lineage: Bacteria; Bacillati; Bacillota; Bacilli; Lactobacillales; Enterococcaceae. The record is from RNAcentral.
AGUCGUACGCUUUCUUUUUGCCACCGGAGCUUGCUCCACCGGAAAAAGAAGAGUGGCGAACGGGUGAGUAACACGUGGGUAACCUGCCCAUCAGAAGGGGAUAACACUUGGAAACAGGUGCUAAUACCGUAUAACAAUCGAAACCGCAUGGUUUUGAUUUGAAAGGCGCUUUCGGGUGUCGCUGAUGGAUGGACCCGCGGUGCAUUAGCUAGUUGGUGAGGUAACGGCUCACCAAGGCCACGAUGCAUAGCCGACCUGAGAGGGUGAUCGGCCACAUUGGGACUGAGACACGGCCCAAACUCCUACGGGAGGCAGCAGUAGGGAAUCUUCGGCAAUGGACGAAAGUCUGACCGAGCAACGCCGCGUGAGUGAAGAAGGUUUUCGGAUCGUAAAACUCUGUUGUUAGAGAAGAACAAGGAUGAGAGUAACUGUUCAUCCCUUGACGGUAUCUAACCAGAAAGCCACGGCUAACUACGUGCCAGCAGCCGCGGUAAUACGUAGGUGGCAAGCGUUGUCCGGAUUUAUUGGGCGUAAAGCGAGCGCAGGCGGUUUCUUAAGUCUGAUGUGAAAGCCCCCGGCUCAACCGGGGAGGGUCAUUGGAAACUGGGAGACUUGAGUGCAGAAGAGGAGAGUGGAAUUCCAUGUGUAGCGGUGAAAUGCGUAGAUAUAUGGAGGAACACCAGUGGCGAAGGCGGCUCUCUGGUCUGUAACUGACGCUGAGGCUCGAAAGCGUGGGGAGCAAACAGGAUUAGAUACCCUGGUAGUCCACGCCGUA